This 468-nucleotide ribosomal RNA is filed under the name uncultured bacterium. RNAcentral describes it as "partial 16S ribosomal RNA". It matches the Rfam family "Bacterial small subunit ribosomal RNA", at positions 28 to 507 of the family's 1533-position model. The record is from RNAcentral.
GACGAACGCUGGCGGCGUGCUUAACACAUGCAAGUCGAACGGAAAGGCCCUGCUUUUGUGGGGUGCUCGAGUGGCGAACGGGUGAGUAACACGUGAGUAACCUGCCCUUGACUUUGUGAUAACUUCAGGAAACUGGGGCUAAUACCGGAUAGGAGCUCCUGCUGCAUGGUGGGGGUUGGAAAGUUUCGGCGGUUGGGGAUGGACUCGCGGCUUAUCAGCUUGUUGGUGGGGUAGUGGCUUACCAAGGCUUUGACGGGUAGCCGGCCUGAGAGGGUGACCGGCGACAUGGGGACUGAGGUACGGACCAGACUGCUACGGGAGGCAGCAGUGGGGAAUAUUGCAGAAUGGGCGGAAGCCUGAUGCAGCAACGCCGCGUGCGGGAUGACGGCCUUCGGGUUGUAAACCGCUUUCGCCUGUGACGAAGCGUGAGUGACGGUAAUGGGUAAAGAAGCACCGGCUAACUACGUG